CCUACGGGGGGCUGCAGUGGGGAAUAUUGGACAAUGGGGGCGACCCUGAUCCAGCCAUGCCGCGUGUGUGAAGAAGGCCCUCGGGUUGUAAAGCACUUUCAGUGAGGAAGAACGCCUGGUGGUUAAUACCCAUCAGGAAAGACAUCACUCACAGAAGAAGCACCGGCUAACUCCGUGCCAGCAGCCGCGGUAAUACGGAGGGUGCGAGCGUUAAUCGGAAUUACUGGGCGUAAAGCGCGCGUAGGUGGCUUGAUAAGCCGGUUGUGAAAGCCCCGGGCUCAACCUGGGAACGGCAUCCGGAACUGUCAAGCUAGAGUGCAGGAGAGGAAGGUAGAAUUCCCGGUGUAGCGGUGAAAUGCGUAGAGAUCGGGAGGAAUACCAGUGGCGAAGGCGGCCUUCUGGACUGACACUGACACUGAGGUGCGAAAGCGUGGGUAGCAAACAGGAUUAGAUACCCUAGUAGUC
Molecule: ribosomal RNA, 465 nt
Filed under: Vreelandella stevensii
Lineage: Bacteria; Pseudomonadati; Pseudomonadota; Gammaproteobacteria; Oceanospirillales; Halomonadaceae
Description: partial 16S ribosomal RNA
Rfam family: Bacterial small subunit ribosomal RNA
Source: RNAcentral